UACAGAGGGGGCAAGCGUUAUUCGGAAUUAUUGGGCGUAAAGGGUGCGUAGGCGGCCGCGCAAGUCGGAUGUGAAAUCUCAGGGCUCAACCCUGAAACUGCAUUCGAUACUGCGUGGCUAGAGUGCUGGAGAGGAGACUGGAAUUUACGGUGUAGCAGUGAAAUGCGUAGAUAUCGUAAGGAAGACCAGUGGCGAAGGCGAGUCUCUGGACAGCAACUGACGCUGAGGCACGAAGGCCAGGGGAGCAAACGGG
RNAcentral lists this ribosomal RNA (253 nucleotides) under uncultured bacterium. RNAcentral's name for it is "partial 16S ribosomal RNA". It matches the Rfam family "Bacterial small subunit ribosomal RNA", at positions 524 to 776 of the family's 1533-position model. The record is from RNAcentral.